The sequence is an unclassified non-coding RNA, 300 nucleotides long. The stretch from base 1 to 46 matches the Rfam family "Eukaryotic small subunit ribosomal RNA", at positions 1786 to 1831 of the family's 1831-position model.
AAGUCGUAACAAGGUUUUCGUAGGUGAACCUGCGUAAGGAUCAUUAACGAGCAAGCCAAUUUCUUGGCAAGCUGUUUGAACAAUGUUCAAGUCCCUGAGACCAAUUGCUGGGUCAGGGCGGCUUCAUUUGAAGCGACAACGGCUGCGACUGACUUGUCAACUGCAGUGAGUUGGAUUGGAGUAGUUGCGCUGUUAGUGUUCCAGUGUUCAAGGCUGGGUGCCCAUUCCUUGCUUUUUGCUGGGACUGUAUCCUCUGGAGAUGCAGUGGGCUGUAAAGUUGGCGUUCACUGGCGUUGACGC